Molecule: ribosomal RNA, 498 nt
Filed under: uncultured bacterium
Lineage: Bacteria
Description: partial 16S ribosomal RNA
Rfam family: Bacterial small subunit ribosomal RNA
Source: RNAcentral
GACGAACGCUGGCGGCAUGCCUAACACAUGCAAGUCGAACGGAGAUUAUUUCGGUAAUCUUAGUGGCGAACGGGUGAGUAACGCGUGGGCAACCUGCCCUCUAGAUGGGGACAACAUCCCGAAAGGGGUGCUCAUACCGAAUGUGACAGCAAUCUCGCAUGAGGAUGCUGUGAAAGAUGGCCUCUAUUUAUAAGCUAUCGCUAGAGGAUGGGCCUGCGUCUGAUUAGCUAGUUGGUGGGGUAACGGCCUACCAAGGCGAUGAUCAGUAGCCGGUCUGAGAGGAUGAACGGCCACAUUGGGACUGAGACACGGCCCAGACUCCUACGGGAGGCAGCAGUGGGGAAUCUUCCGCAAUGGGCGAAAGCCUGACGGAGCAAUGCCGCGUGAGUGAUGAAGGAAUUCGUUCCGUAAAGCUCUUUUGUUUAUGACGAAUGUGCAGAUUGUGAACAAUGAUCUGUAAUGACGGUAGUAAACGAAUAAGCCACGGCUAACUACGUG